GGCCCCGUAGCUCAGUCGGAUAGAGCAACAGAUUCCUAAUCUGUAGGUCGCAGGUUCGAAUCCUGCCGGGGUCACCA
This 77-nucleotide transfer RNA is filed under the name Hyphomicrobiales bacterium. Its description in RNAcentral is "tRNA-Arg". It matches the Rfam family "tRNA". From Rfam's summary of the family: Transfer RNA (tRNA) molecules are approximately 80 nucleotides in length. Their secondary structure includes four short double-helical elements and three loops (D, anti-codon, and T loops). The record is from RNAcentral. Lineage: Bacteria; Pseudomonadati; Pseudomonadota; Alphaproteobacteria; Hyphomicrobiales.